This is a ribosomal RNA of 2059 nucleotides. It matches the Rfam family "Eukaryotic small subunit ribosomal RNA", at positions 84 to 1681 of the family's 1831-position model.
UUUCUGUGAAUGGCUCCUUACAUCAGCAGUCAUCUCUGUGAUACAGUGCGGUUGGCCCGCCGGCCAGGAGGUCCCCUUGGAUAUCCUCCAAAACCUAGUGGCUAAUACACGGUCGAACAAGUCUGCUACGGCACGGUCCCGCCAGGCCUUUCAACGCCUGCCCGACAGGCAGUGGAUUGCACCCAGCCGCACCUGAAGACCAGCGCCUGGGAUUACUGGCAGCGUGUCGUGGUUGACUCAGGCUGGUCCCUUGCGGACAUCCGCGUUGGCAGAGUGGUGGGCCUCGGUCCACAGCAUUGCUUGAUCACACGAGCUUCUGACCUAUCAGCCUCGAUGGUGGCGUAUGGGACCACCAUGGCAGUGACGGGUAACGGAGAAUCAGGGUUCGAUUCCGGAGAGGGAGCCUGAGAGACGGCUACCACUGCUAAGGCGGGCAGCAGGCACGCAAAUUGCCCCAUGCUGAUGCAUGUCUGGUGAGGCAGCGACGAACUGCAGCAACUCCACCUGUCCUCAGUGACCGGUGGAGCUUGUAAUGGAUGCAAUCCAAACACAGUGAUGAGUAUCGACUGGAGGGCAAGUCUGGUGCCAGCAGCUGCGGUAAUUCCAGCUCCAAGGGCGUAUACUAACAUUGCUGUUGUUAAAACACUUGUAGUCCGAUGCUGGGUUGCAGGUCUGUUGGGUGGCAGCCGUGGUGGGCGUUACGCCUCUCUGCUCCGCGUCUUCGGGCGUGGGGUUGUGGGGGAUGGCGUCCAUCUCGCUGGUACAACCCCCGACAGUAUGUUCCUGCACCCGUUCUCUGGCAUAUGACGGUGCGAAUGGCUCCUGCUCCAAGUCUCCUUCAGUGGGGAUCGAUGCGGUUGUAUACCCAACGCCUGUGUGUUGACGCCACGAGGGGCAUGGCCCCAGUGCCAUGCAGCUUCUCUCAGUCCACCACCGGAGUCCACUGUCUCAGACACCGUGGAAAACUCAGUGUGCCCCAAGCGUCCCUCUCGGCUGGAUGACCGUCCAUGGAAUGUCAAAGCAUCGACCGUAUGUGGCUAUGAAGUUGUGCUGGCCUUGGUGCCCGUGACGGGGAACCUGGUACGGUCCCCAGUGGCGAAAGAGCAUUGCUGCCGUCUGGCUGGCGGUGCCCCCUGCGUCGCUGGUGGGUCGCUACCGAUCGUCCACGAUGGGACAUCUCGGGGUGAAAGAUACUGCAACGCCAGAGGUGAAAUUCUUAGAUCGCUGCAAGAUCAACAGCAGCGAAGGCGUUCUGCAAGUGCUUGUUCGUCGAUCAAGAAUGUGAGUGUGGGGAGCGAAGAUGAUCAGACACCGUCGUAGUCCACAACUGUAAACCAUGCCAGCUCGGCGUUGUUGGGGCAAGUCCACGGACCCCAUCAGCGCCAUGCCCCCUGCAACGAGAAAUCCAAGCCUGUGGGUUCAAGGGGGAGUACUGUCGCAAGGCUGAAACUUAAAGGAAUUGACGGAAUGGCACCACAAGGCGUGGAGUAUGCGGCUUAAUUUGACUCAACACGGGGAAUGUUACCAGGUCCGGACGUUGCUGGGAUGGACAGAUUGAGAGCUCUUUCUUGAUCCUUCGGAUGGUGGUGCAUGGCCGCUCCUGAUUGGUGGAGUGAUUUGUCUGGUUGAUUCCGAUAACGAGUGAGACAUCUGCCUCCCAAUAGCCCCUGCCUCGCACUUGUAGGGUGGCCGUGACGCGCCACCGAGGGGUUCGCCCCGAGAUUGGCCGUGACGGUCCGCCCGAGAGGUCCUGGGUCCAGCUUCUCUGAGGUGCUGUGUACGCUACCAAGUGCCCGCAUGCUAGAGCCAACAGCAGGUCUGUGAUGCUCCCAGAUGUCCUGGGCCGCACGCGCACUACAUUGGCCUGGUGAAUGUGCCGAGUCCUCCCCCGUUGGAGACCUGCCCGGAAGUGGGUGGGGAACCAUCGGAGCCCAAGUUAUGGCCGUACUGGGGAUAGAUGAUUGCAACUGUCUGCCUUGAACGAGGAAUGCCUAGUAGGCGUGGGUCAUCAGCCCACNCCGAUUGUGUCCCUGCCAUUUGUACACACCGCCCGUCGUUG